This 31-nucleotide non-coding RNA is filed under the name Rattus norvegicus (Norway rat). Lineage: Eukaryota; Metazoa; Chordata; Mammalia; Rodentia; Muridae. The record is from RNAcentral.
GUCUGUGUAGAUAGAAUUGAUGGCUUGAUCU